Molecule: long non-coding RNA, 747 nt
Organism: Dreissena polymorpha
Lineage: Eukaryota; Metazoa; Mollusca; Bivalvia; Myida; Dreissenidae
Exons: 3
Source: RefSeq, a predicted model, not a curated record
GAAUAAAACAAAAGAGUAGAGAAUGUUCGCUAUCUCGAGAUCCCGACUUAGCUCAGCCAAUCAAAUUGUUUGUUAUGUCAAUUUAACGUUUAUUCUGGAUUACCUGCCCCUUUGUAUACAAAGAGUCAUCAGGUACAGACGAAGUUAUAGCGGAGGCGAUGGCAAUAGUUAUCAACAGCCAGUCAGUUACAGAUGCAUUGCGACAGAGACGUUGUUAUCUACGUCUCUGAUUGCGAACACAGAAUUAAACAACAUUGGUCAUAAUGAUACAUACAAGAGAUCGGCAGAGCAGGAAGAAGCCAUGUUGAUGCCCUGGCCAUUCUCUUCUUUAACAAAUCAGUCAUUGCAUCUGCACGUAUGACCGGAGAAAUGAAGGACUAUUGUGGAAACUCAACUAUCUGCCGAAGAACUUUAGUUAACCAGUAUUUUGGUUUUGAAACUAAGGAAGUCUAACAGUUUUCAAUUUGUUGUGAUUUGUGUAAUAAUGAACUGGGGAUAGAAUAUGAUUUUAGUAAACUGUCACCUAACUAGAAGCAUACAUAUUAUUAUUACAAGAUUCCUUGAUUAAUUGAAUUUUCACAUCUUUUUAGGAAGGUCUAUCCUCGAAUAUUUUAAAUAUCUUAAAUAUAUUUGAUUGGAUUGAUUUAUUAAUCAUUUAUGUUUGAUGAAAAUGUAUAUUCUAGGUUGAAUUAAUGCAUAUGUUAGUGUGAGUGUGUGUGUAUGUUUGUGUGUUGCUGAGGAUAGUGC